AUUGAACGCUGGCGGCAUGCCUUACACAUGCAAGUCGAACGGCAGCACGGGUGCUUGCACCUGGUGGCGAGUGGCGAACGGGUGCGUAAUACAUCGGAACAUGUCCUGUAGUGGGGGAUAGCCCGGCGAAAGCCGGAUUAAUACCGCAUACGAUCCACGGAUGAAAGCGGGGGACCUUCGGGCCUCGCGCUAUAGGGUUGGCCGAUGGCUGAUUAGCUAGUUGGUGGGGUAAAGGCCUACCAAGGCGACGAUCAGUAGCUGGUCUGAGAGGACGACCAGCCACACGGGGACUGAGACACGGCCCAGACUCCUACGGGAGGCAGCAGUGGGGAAUUUUGGACAAUGGGCGAAAGCCUGAUCCAGCAAUGCCGCGUGUGUGAAGAAGGCCUUCGGGUUGUAAAGCACUUUUGUCCGGAAAGAAAUCCUUGACUCUAAUACAGUCGGGGGAUGACGGUACCGGAAGAAUAAGCACCGGCUAACUACGUG
RNAcentral lists this ribosomal RNA (486 nucleotides) under uncultured bacterium. Its description in RNAcentral is "partial 16S ribosomal RNA". It matches the Rfam family "Bacterial small subunit ribosomal RNA", at positions 30 to 507 of the family's 1533-position model. The record is from RNAcentral.